GGAACGAACGCUGGCGGCAUGCCUAAUACAUGCAAGUCGAACGAACACUUCGGUGUUAGUGGCGCACGGGUGCGUAACGCGUGGGAAUCUGCCCUUGGGUUCGGAAUAACAGUUGGAAACGACUGCUAAUACCGGAUGAUAUCGAAAGAUCAAAGAUUUAUCGCCCAGGGAUGAGCCCGCGUAGGAUUAGCUAGUUGGUGAGGUAAAGGCUCACCAGGGCGACGAUCCUUAGCUGGUCUGAGAGGAUGAUCAGCCACACUGGGACUGAGACACGGCCCAGACUCCUACGGGAGGCAGCAGUGGGGAAUCUUGCGCAAUGGGCGAAAGCCUGACGCAGCCAUGCCGCGUGAAUGAUGAAGGUCUUAGGAUUGUAAAAUUCUUUCACCGGGACGAUAAUGACGGUACCCGGAGAAGAAGCCCCGGCUAACGUCGUGCCAGCAGCCGC
Molecule: ribosomal RNA, 445 nt
Filed under: uncultured soil bacterium
Lineage: Bacteria
Description: bacterial SSU rRNA
Rfam family: Bacterial small subunit ribosomal RNA
Source: RNAcentral